GGGGGGGGGGAAGAUGUCACUUUCUCCGCGGACAGGCGUCGCUUCCAGCUCUGACAGGAGCUGCGGCUCGGAAGGUGAGAGGUCCCGGCGCUGGAAGAGCUGCUGUGGCUUCUGACCUGUGGGCCCUUCCUCACUUUCCCCGUGAAUUCUCCGCCGUGUCUGUCUCCCAGUGUCCGGGGUCCCACCGAGUAUACAGUAGGAUGUCCACAGCUGCUUCCUUCUCCCCAGGUCUAACCCCCAAAGCCCAGAGAUUUCUGGAUCCAAUCUUCCUUCCCGGCACCCCCAAUCUCAGCCCGUGUUCACCUCCCCCGCCCCAGUUUUGGCUUCUCUGGCCCCUCUGCUUCUUCCACCUCCUUCCUUCUCCUCUCCCUGCCUCCUGCUGGACCCCCUCCGCAACCUCUGUGGCCCCUUGGAGCCUGCCUCCUAGGCCCCUUCAGGUCUUGCGAUAUCACAACCCAGUGUGAGGAUCAGUUGGAACGAGAGGAAGCUCCUUGGACUCCAGAGGGAGAAGGUUCCCCCAGGGCAGCUGGGGGUGGUGGUGAUUGCGUUACUAGCCCUGAAAGCAAGGAGCCAUUUCCCAAGCAGGACACUUCUAUGGAACAGUCACCCCUGGAGACCCACUCAUGGAGUGAUUUGUCUCUAACCUAAGAGAAGCCUGGGAAUAUGUGGUGUUGACUUAGAGAAGCUGCAUAUCAAGGAAGACAAAUGUUCUCGGAAGUUCAAGGUCGGCCAGAGAAAUACUUCUGAUCAAGUGGAUGGGACUCACGCUAGCACAAAGUUAUAUGAAUGCAAUGAUUGUGGGAAAGCUUUCACUCAGAGUUCAUCCCUUACUUUCCAUCUUUGGAUUCAUUCUGAAGAGAAACCAUUUGGAUGUGGUGACUCUGGGAAGGCAUUUUGCCUGAACAAACAGCUUGUUAGACAGCAGAAAAUUCAUACUGGAGAGAAGCAGCCUUAUGAAUGGGAAGACCUUUCUCCAGACUACAGAACUUAAUCAACAUGGGAGUAUUCAUGCUAGAGAAAAACUAUAUAAGUGUAAUGAAUAUGGGAAGAUCUUCACCGAAGUUCAUCUUUUCUUUCCCAUCAGGAUCCAUACUGGAGAGAGACCUUCUGAAUGUAAUGAAUAUGGCAGAGCCUUUAGCUGGAGAAUUAAUGUAUCAUCCAGAAUUCACCCCAGAGAGAGACCUUAUGUAUGCCUUGAAUGGGGACAGGCUUUGGCCUGAGGGUGAGCUUACUCCAGCCUGGAGCAUUCACCUUGGACAGAAACCAUCUGAGUGUGGGAAGGCCCAACUCCUCCCUUAUUUCCCAGCUCAGGGUUCACACUAGACAGGAGCUGUUUGAAUGUUGGGGAGACUCUUUUCUCCAGAGUAUACAACUCCCUUGACAUCAGGUGACUCAUGUUUAAGGGAGAGCCUGCUGACUGUCAUGCAAGGAUGUUGGCCACUGCAGGGAAGGCAGAGACUCAGAGCAAGGGCCUUCUUCCUACUCUGCUGCAUGCGACUUCACUCAGCUGCCUCCGAUCCCUCUUGGGCUCCUUGGCUCCUAGGAGGCAGACCAUUUCCUCCACUCCUGCCUUCCCUGCUUGGACUUCCUCCUGGUGCUGCCCUCUUCUCUCUCCUUCCUGUUUCCUAUCAUGAUUGGGUGAGAAAACUGGCAGGGGCUCCCUGGCUGUCCUUAGUGCCAGCCUUCUGAUUCCAGACCACUCCACGGUGCUGAAUAAAUGUCCGCUGGCCUGGUGGGUUCUCCCUGGGGCCCAUCAUUUCUGUUAACCCUAAUGCUGCACUUCGUGCCAGUGUAAGACGUGUAAACAGCUGGCUUUUAAUUAAUGCGCCCCUAGAUGAGAAAGGCUUCAUAGCUGCCAACCUCUAGGCAGGGCAUGAAUGCUCAUACCUUUUUAAACCCUUGUCUUUGGACAGGAGGAUUGAGGGGAGGUAGGAAGGUAGGGGGAGACCACCACGCCCUCUACAGGCCUCUGCCUUGCUCCUUGUUCUCUGGGCAUGCGCAUCCUUGUGACCAGGUUGCUGAACUACAUUUCCCAGAUCAGCCAAAGAUUGGAGGAGGGGGUGGGGCCGUGUGAUGUCAUUUCUGCUCCUUGCUGCUUCCGCCAAGGCUUUUGAAGGCUGUCAAUUCCUGGGCUCUCUCCUCCUUGAGCUAGGAAGAAAGAGAACAUUGUACAUGGCAACAGGAAGAUUAUACCAUGAUCACUUCUGAUGGACGCAGCUCUUUCCAACAUUGAGGUGAUUCAGGCCAGUUCCAAUGGUCUUGUGGUGGAGAGAGCCAUCUGCACUCAGAGAGAGGAUGACUGUCUGUUCACCUGCUGACCUGUACCAAUUGUGAUUAAUCUUAGUAGGCACCAUGACUUAGGAUGGCUGUUCAAUAAGAAGAACCAAAGGCAAUGAAUUAGAUGUAAGAAACUGGAAUAAAACACAAUUGUAACAUUUUAUAAUAUACCCUCCUGGUACAUUCAUGAUCUGGAUUCUAAUGCCAUUUCUUAAAACAGUAUCUGCAGUUAGAAACAUCUGUGGGUAAUCCAAACAUGCCUGUAUGGGUCUGAAACAUCAUGGAAUCCUAUAUCUGAGAUGUAAAAAUUUGUCCCAUCCUAAGUCCCAAGGAGACCCAUCCAGACACUGGAUAAUUUGGAGUCAUUCAACAAUCAGUUCCAAGUUUUCCCCAAACCAAUGGGCCCCCAAAUCCUCUGGGGGCAGGGGCAAUGAUCUCAUCUUCUGAAACUUCUUCCUGCUGAGAAUGGGCAUAGAGCUGAAUCACCUGCAGGGUCCCAUUCAUUUAUGGAGGGGGUGUAAGCUGGAACUGAGUGAAGCAUCCAAUGGUUGAUUCAAAUCCUUGAAGCUGGUUAAUGCAGCUGUAACUGACCAAUAUCUAGAAUAAAAAACAAAUCUAACAAAGGGGUUAGGCACAUCUGAGCUAGAAAGACAAGCCCACAAGGACUGCUAUAAGAUAUAUAGAGACCAAUAUAGAUUGGCCAGCAGCUUUUCAUGUAAAGAAAUGUAUUUGUGUCACAGGACACAAAGUACAUACAAAUAUUAAAGACGCUUUAGCUUUAGUUUCAAAAAUUAACAGAUCUCACACACGAUCUUGUUAAUUAUUCUCACAUUAUUUUGGAAAUCUUUAAGGACCUUAUUUCCUACUGACACAAACAUCUAAUAUCUGAUAGAUGACUAGGCCAAAUACUCAUUCACCAAUUAUUUAGAAUAUGAUGACUACAUAUUUUCGGAUCAGCAAGAUAUUGCAUAAUUGGGUUGUGCUUAUGGCUAAUAUUGACCUUUUGCUCUGAUUAUAGAAAUUUGCUAUAGGAGGAAAAUACAGGGAGAUGAUUAUAAUACCACCAAAACUGAUUCUUCAGGCCUCAGUCUGGGAGCACACACAUGACAGGAUAAAGCAUUAGCUCAGUUUGAUAUCCAACAACAGUUCCACUCUAUAGCCGGGCUCAGGAAUAAUCAAGUAGGUUCUUAUUCAAGGAGAGACAACUGGGAAACGAGUCAGAAGGAUCCCACCUUGAGUGGAGGCCAAGAUUGUCCUUUUAACUCUUGUUACAGGCUUCAACCUGUAACAGUUCAGGAUCACAUUUCUCUGAGUAGUUUAUCAUAUAUCUCUCAAAUGGUGGGUCACUGACUUAAUGAUCGGGAAAUCAAAUUCAAAACUCAAAAGAAUAUCAGUUACAGUCCCACGAGAUUUUAUCUCUAACAGCAAAUUCUAAUUAUUGCAGCUUAGGGUUAGAUUCAUUAUUAUUUUCUCAUUUUAUUUAUUUUAAAGCUUUUUACUUACAAAACAUAUGCAUGGGUAAUUUUUCAACACUGACCCUUGCAAAGCUACUUGUUCCAAAUUAUCCCCUCCUUCCUCCCCCCACCCCCACCCCAGAUGGCAGGUAGUACAAUACAUGUUAAAUGUGUUAAAUCCAAUAUAUGUAGAGACAUUAUUUUUUAAAGAGUUUACAGGAGUUAUACACAUAGGAGAUUUUAACUUGUUUUAUAUGUUUAAACUCAUUCUGGUGCAAAGGAUCAAUCAUUAUAUAGGCUUAUAGAUUUUUAGUAAACACAUUCCUUGUUCAGAAACUAUAUAUUCUAAACAAGCUCAUUUCUCAGGGCUGAUGACCUUGCUUACCCUGAUGGUUUCAAGAAAACUGGCAAGCUUAUAAACGAAGGGGAGUUGACACAGACCCCAGAGAAAGGACUGAGCUAGCUGUUGCCCACCCCAACUAUUUUAGCCUCUCUAUGGGCUGUGCUGUUUGAUAACUUUUCCCACUUUAUAAAGGUAAUGAUGAGGAUCAGUGCAGGGCAGAGAGUUGUGGGAACCCCUUCUGGUCAGCACAGGAACUUCGUAAAAGAAUUUACAAACCUGAAAAGUUAUUGGCAAAAAGAAGUUUAUUGGCACUAGAAGUUGGUCUUUGCUAGGAAGACUGACUUCCUUUGUGGCAAGGUCCCAACAGAGAGAGAGAUAAAGUUCCCAGCAGAGAAAUCUAGCCAAGAAAUCUCGACAGAGGUAGAGAGGUGUAGUCCUGUUAGGGAAAUGGAGUCUGGCACUGAGAAGAGAAUGCCUUCUCAGUGUGCAGGGUCCUGGUAGGCUGCUUGGGCCUCUGCAAAGAAGUGCCCCAAGUUGCCCCUUUUUCUAAUUUGAAACUUUGGUCAGAGGCUGGGGGCAGUUUGAGUUGAAAUUAGACCAAAAUCUUCAAAUUGAAUAGAAAUUUCAACAGAAUGAGAUUAAUGCCCCCAGGCCUAGAUUUCCAGUAGAAUAGUUGAGCCAAUUUCCAGCUCAAUAGAGAUCGAUAGAAAUCUAGAUUUCCAAUUUGGGCUAAGUAGGAGCAGUCUUGGACUCAACUAGUCCCACCAAGGUAACAGAAUGAAAAUCCUUUAUCUUGAUUCUCUCGGAUGGGUCUCUCCCAGGAGAGUUCAAGGAGUUUCUCCCCUACAAGGAGUUCUCAAGUAUUUACCCCUAAGUUAGGACAGUUUCAGGGUUCCCUACAUCAGUAAUGCAUACUCUUAUAUUUGAAGAUGAACUGAUAAGAAUUUCACCUCCUCCCUCUUGUUCCACACACAGUUAAACUUAGUUAACAAUUUUAGAUUUUUCCUAAGAGACAAAUAGUCUUUGCUAUAAUUUCCUUUUAAUUUUCUAGCAAAGGUGAAAAUACCUAAUUCUCAAAAUUAUAUUUAUAAAACAUAAAAUGGGAUUAUCGAAGUUUUACUUUCUUUUAGUAGUUUCAUUUAUUUUGUCUCCAAGCUAUUGAAUUUUGGAAGGUCUCAUGGAGGAUUUCCAUUCCCUUAAACUUUUUAAACCUUUUGUUUUUGGUAGAAAACAAGACAAUUUUUAAAAAUUGAGAUACAACAGAUUUUAAAAUUGACUUAACUUUAGUUCAUGAGAUUCCCUAAAUUCCAAUUACGUGUUCCAGACAAACGGAAUUGUCUUUUGGAAAUUUUUCAGUUCACACAAAUCAUUUCUCUGUGGGCCAGAAAAAGGUCAAGGUGCCAUUUUUUUUUUUUAAACUGACAGGGCCCUCAAAAGUCUGACUAUAAUGCAAAAAUAGGCUGUUUGUUGUCAAGAGUUUUUAAAGUAGCAGCAAACUGCUUUUGUUUUCCUAAAGUUUCCUAAAACUCCCUUAAAUCUUUUGUAAACAGUGCAAAUAGAUUACAAUUUACGUAUCCCUUUAGUGGGCUUUAAUUAAAACUCCUUUAAAAUUGCUUCUGUCAUAUCUCAAAUAACAAACUUCACUAAAUUAUGUAUAUUUUCUUUCUCUCCUCACUCUUUUGUUCAUGUUAUCCCUGUUUCAGUCAGGGAAGGAGGGAAGGGGAAAAAAAAAGAAAAACUCUUUCCUCUAUGCACUAUUCUCCUAGUCCUAGGGAGGCACAAAUUUAGUUGAAUUUGCUUAAUUUAGUUUACACACACACACACAAAUCAUUUAUAUCAACAUUGCCAUUGUAUGUUGUCACAUCUAAAAACCCAUGUAAAGUUAACAAAUAUGAAGCAAUUAUAUCCAAUAAAGAAGUUAACAUUCAUAUAGGAUGUUUUAUGCUAAACACUUUUGCAAUCAUGUGAUCUUCAUGAUAACAAUCUAUUAUUUCUCUUUACAAAUCAGAAAACUGAGCAGAGAUAAAAUGAUUUGCCAUAAAUUACAUAACACAUUUCUGCAACUGAAACAGAAAAUGGUGGACUUACCAAAUGCAGAGGCUGACUGGCUUUUUCACUUCACACUGCCAUAUUGAGUGCUGCCAGAGGCACCCCGAUUCUUCCCAGCCAGUUGUUUGACAGAACCUGCUGAAGGCUGGGUGACUAGUGCCUCGAUCUCCCUUUGAUGGUAGUUUUGGGUGCCAGAGCUCAGGGAAUGCUGACCACUGGACCUGACCUCUACUCUAUCCUCAUUCCCCCAAGUUGGGUUGGGGAGGUAUUUGGACAAGGUUGUAUGGGUCCCCAUUGCUGUUGCUGCUUUCCCCAUUUCUACAGGUGAGGCAGAAUUUGAGUUUCCCUACAGUAUUUUAGCAUUCUCUUAAUCUGAUCUGAGAUGAAAGGAGUUAGCAAACAGAGGGACUUGGGCUAUAUUGAUCUUGUUAGCAAUCCCCACAACUGAGAUACACUCAGGACUCUGGGAAGUGGAGCAUGCUGAAUGAUCAGGGUUGUGGAGAGGGCCCCUUAUUUCUGGAAUGAUUUCCCCAUGAAAUAGAGGACUCCAGACAAGAUGGAACUCAAAGAGGAAUUACCAAAAAGUUGCUAUUUUCCUAGUUGUUUUUUGUUGUUGUUGCGGUCUUAGAAUGGCUAGUCAGAUUUCUCAAUCAUUUCUCUCAAAACCUUGAGAAUCUGCUGAGAUGUCAUUUUUUGCAGUUCUAUAAUUUUAAUUAGCUAACUUUAUUUCUGUAGCUCCCACAUUGAUCAGAAAUGGGGUCCACAGGAAAAAGUCAGACUUUUUCCCUUUUUAGGGUGGGAAUCGGAGAUGUUAAGAAAUCUUUCCAAGUAACAAAAUUUAACUCACAACAAAGACCAGCAGACAUUCUGCACAGAGACAGAAAUACAGGCAAAAGUGACAUGGAAGAGGAUUGUUCCAGCUUUGCCAAAAGCCAUAAACUAGAAAAAUAAAAACUCGGUUAUUAACAUUGUGCAAAGAUAAACCAGUCUUUAAAACAAUAGAAGCAAUUGAUCUUAAAGGAAUCUCAUUUAGCCAGGGGGGGUCCAGGACAGGGGUUGUUCCUACAUUAUUAAGCACAUUAAACAGCAUAUUUGCUAUUUGAAAAAAAUUGUCAUUCUUGAGCAGUAUACAGUGCAGCAAUAAUUCCAUAUAACUCAUUCUGCUGUGUAGAUUCAAACGGGGUGUUAAAAACAUAUUUAGAAGUAGGUAGAAUAUAUGUAAAGAGGUUUGUUAGCAUCUGUAAAUACCAUCAGCUGCUGCUGAUAGUUUGCAGCUGAUCCUCAGCUUCUUUAGUUGAAUAAUUUUGUCAAUUAUGUUUUCCCAAAUUCAAAUACAGUCUUAUCCAGUUAAUAACCCAAGGUGGUUUUUUUGUUUUUUAAUAUUUUCCUACUCUUUUGUAAGGUAUUAGUAACUCCUAUCCUUUCCAACCUUUUUGUUAAAAUAUCCUGAUGAGGAACAGGAUAGCAAAGAAUCCAUAUUUUCCCGGAAGAAUCAGAAUCUACUACUCCAGGCAUAACCAUAAGCCUUAGUAAUGACUGUGAACUGCAUCCUCACAGAAGACCUAGCAUCCCAGAGGAGGACCCGAGACUGCAGGGGUGAGAGAACAUAUUCCCAUAUUGUCAAUAAUUUGAUGUGACACAGAGGGGGACAAACCAAGGCCAGUACUUCCAGGGGUAGCAUGCAAUAAAGCUUGUACUGUCAAUAAGUUGGAUUUAAGGUAUUGUUUGCAGACAUCACGUGCAGUUCCUGUUGUUUGACUAGGUUGGACCCAAGCCCCAGAAAUGCUUUCCCAAGAUCAGAUUACCUUCCCUAUCAUUCUGAGGGGAUAUUCAGAAGUCCAAUGUCUGUCCGUUCUACAUUUUCAACAUAAAGUCAAAGGCUUAUCUUGCUGAACUGUGAUGAGGUACAACCUUUUGGGUAAUACAAUUUUCCCUCAUAUGACCCAAUUUUUCAUAAUUAUAGCAUCUACAAGAAUUAGAAAAAUCUUAAGAUCGAGAUUUGUCCUGAUGUUGUGCAGAAGCCAUUACUGCAACUUGAAAAGUAGAAGUCCCAAAGUUCUGAUACCUGGAUCAUUUUUACUAGAGAUAUUUUUGAUUUUUUUUCCCCAGACAACACUUUCUUACAAUCAGCAUUAGCAUUUUCAAGGACAGGUUGUCUCAAUAAAAUUUCAGCGGCCUCCUCAUGGUGAAUAAGCAAUUAACAAAGUCAAAGUCUCAUUGGAUCCUUGCUUGAUUUUUCAUAGGAUGUCUGUCCCUGACACCUGAUUGAUUUUGCCCUAUUCAAAUUCAAUAUGUAUGCUAUAUUGAUAUCAGCUGAACAAUAAUCAAUCUUAUAUUUUAUAUCAUAUCUUAUUAUAUCCUAAUCCUCGUAUUAGCCUGGUGAUAAAUUACUUUCACCUCUUGCUUACCGUUUUUUUUUUUUUAAUCAUUGACCUCACCAAGAGGUCACUCUCCUCUGCCAGGUCAUUCAGGUCCCUUGUUCAGCCACAGACUGUUGGAGUCCAGCUCCAAUGAAUGAGAGUGUGGAUGUGAUCGAUAUGUAAGAGCUAGAUGGAAAAUGUGGUGUGCAUUUUGCCUUUAUUAACCUGAGAGCGCGAGUUUCUAUACUCUUGCAGAUGGCAUUAUGUGCAUUCCAGAGUUAAUCUAUAGACCAUACUUCUACAUUUCAGUUUGACAUUAACGAUGUAGCUCUCAUCACAGAGCCAGAAAUAACAGCAGCUAAAUAAUGUGUUUAUCAUAACAAUGGUAAAUAGCAAACUUGUGAUGCCUUGUUCCUUCCACAUGCAUUCUUCAAAAGACUAUCAUUCAUUGUUAAGGGAGGUGGUGAGCUAGUGCUUUGAACAGUGCAUUCUUAUAGAGAGUAAUACCUGGACCAGAUUCUUCCUGUACAUGGACUUAUUCAAUACUGGCCCUCUACGAAAAACAAGUACCAGUUAAAGGAAAAUAAAAAAAAUAUAUAUAGUUAUAGAAGAAAUUAUAUUCAUGAGUAUCCAGCUUUACUUCCUUAUAAAUUGUUCUUUUAUUCUCUGCAGCUCAUCUUUUUUACUUUAUUCUUUUCCCCCCUUUCACUUUGACCCCCAAGCUACACACACACAUAUAUACACAUAUCUUUCUUACUCCUGCUGACCCUUUGCUUUAAUGCUUCUCCUAAUUUGCCUUGCUAGUAACUUCCUACCAUCCAUGGAUCCCUCCCUUGUCUUCUUCUCACAACCUUUGCUUUGUCUGCCCAUCCCUACCCCCCUAUUUCUUUGUAGAUUUAUACCUCCUAUACCCUUCAUAGUAUAAAUGUAGUAUUUUCUAUUUAACCCAUUUCCGAAGUGACAGGUUUUUAGAACUAUGAGCCCUCCUCCCCUCUCUAAUGCCUCUGUGCCUGUUCUUCCUCUGCUCCUUGUUUCUAUGAAAUAAUUACUAUUUUUAUCAACUCUGCCCCAAUCUUUCUUUUUAGCUGCCCUGUUGUUGAUCUCAAUCCUAAACAUAUUCUGUACAUUUCUCAUGUUUAAAAAAAAACAUAAUUAGUCCAUGUUAAACUCUUUGAAAUUGAUGUUUGAUAAUGGUUCUUGAUAGAAGUUUGGCUGAUAGAAAGUCCUAAAAAUCUGCAAGUUCAUUGAAUGUCCUUUUUUUUUUUUUUUUUUCUCAUUUAGUAUUAUAGAUAAUUUUGCUGGAUGUGAUAUUUUUGGCCAUAGGUCUAGUUCUUUUGAUUGUCAGUAGAUUUGAUUCUACUGCUGAUAAAUCUUGUACAAUUCUAAUUGUAGCUCCAGAAUCUUGCAAAAUGUUCUUUUUGAUCUGGGGGUUUCAAAAUUUGGCAAUAAUAUUCCUAUAUGUUAUCCACAAAGGAUCUCAUUGAGGUGGUAAUCAGUGGAUUUUUCAAUGAAUUUUUUCUAUUUCUACUUUCCCCUUGUGUUCUAUCACUCCAGGACAAUUUUUAGGGGGUUAUUUUUUGCAUUAUUGUGUCAAGAUGCUUUUUUUGGUCACAACUUUUAGGCAGUCCAAUUAUUCUUAUAUUUUCUCUUUUUGAUCUGUUUUCCAGAUCUGUUAUUUUUCUUGUUUUACAUUCUGUUCUGUUUUUUCAUACUUUAUAAUAAUCUGUUUUGUUAUUUCUUGUUCUCUUACAGCUUCACGGGGUUCCCCUUGCCCAAUUUUAAUGUUCAAAGAAUUAUUUUUGUCUUUAAGACUCUAUCUCCUUUUCUAGUUGGUUUAACUUUUUUUUCCCACAAUCAUCUUAUUUUUCUUGGAUGCUUUAAAAAAUUUCCCUCAAUGUCUCUCUUUUGAUUUUUUUAUAUCUUGCAGUUUUGGUAGAGCUACGAGUUGUUUCCAAUAGGUUUUUGGAUGAUUUUCUUGGAUUCUCUAAGUAUAUCAUCAUAUCAUUUGGAAAGAACGAUAGUUUUAUUUUCUCAUUGCCUGUUCUAAUUCCUUUAUUUUUCUUUUCUUAUUGCUAAAGCCAACAUUUCUAGUACAAUACUGAAUAAUAGUGAUGAUAAUGGACAUCCUUGUUUCAUUCCUGAUUCUUUUCCUUCCUUUCUCCCUCCCUCCCUCCCUUCCUUCUUCUUUCUUCCUUCCUCUAUUCCUCUCUUUCUUUCUUUUUAUUAUAAUUAUUUUUAAAAAUAAAAUAAAAAGCUAUAACUUUUUAUUGACAGAACCCAUGCCUGGGUAAUUUCUUUUUACAACAUUAUCUUUUGCACUCACUUCUGUUCCGACUUUUCCCUCCCCUCCCUCCCUCCACUCCCUCCCCCCCCUCCCUCCACUCCCUCCCCCAGAUGGCAAGCAAUCCUAUACAUGUUAAGUAUGUCACAGUAUAUUCUAGAUACAAUCUAUGUGUGCAGAACUGAACAGUUCUCUUGUUGCACAGGAAGAAUUGGAUUCAGAAGGUAAAAAAUAACUUGGGAAGAAAAACCAAAAUGCAAACAGUUUGCAUUCAUUUCCCAGUGUUCUUUCUUUGGGUAUAGCGCGAGUACGACUGGAGCCAGAGAAAGGCUUUAAAAUAAAACAUGUAAAGAGAAAGAGGUAAGGGCGUCAUUUUUAGUCUCGAACCUGGCUCGGUGUGGGCAGGGCUGGGGCGAGUGCACUGCUGCUGCAAUAGCGGAGGUGUGGGGAGUGGAAGCCAGUCUUCCUAAAUUCCUUAAGUGGCCCAUACAGUGACUUAUGGGGGAGGGGGAACCCUAACCCAAAAUGCCUUCCGACUCUAACACUGAAUGCAGGGAAGG
This is a long non-coding RNA of Sarcophilus harrisii (Tasmanian devil), 11324 nucleotides long. The record is from Ensembl. Lineage: Eukaryota; Metazoa; Chordata; Mammalia; Dasyuromorphia; Dasyuridae.